AAGGUGGCCUAUGCCACUGCCAUGGACUGGUUCAUGGCAGUGUGCUAUGCCUUU
Poecilia formosa (Amazon molly) is the source of this 54-nucleotide non-coding RNA. The record is from Rfam. NCBI's taxonomy places the organism in Eukaryota, Metazoa, Chordata, Actinopteri, Cyprinodontiformes, Poeciliidae.